This is a long non-coding RNA of Anser brachyrhynchus (Pink-footed goose), 1303 nucleotides long. The record is from Ensembl. Lineage: Eukaryota; Metazoa; Chordata; Aves; Anseriformes; Anatidae.
AUAGUAUGAGGGCUGAACUGAAACUACUCAGUGAUCCCAGAGCAUUCUUUUGAAAUCUGUGGCAUACCCAGCUCUUUCAUAUUUGGCAACACAGUGGACCAACUAUUCUCCCAGAGGGACCAUAUUGAGACGUUUCCUCCACAAGGUCCCACUGAUUCCUGGGUUGUUGCAUCAGAAUUCAGAUUUGCUGCUCAAAUAUGAAGAGGUCAAGUGAAAGCAGCCCGAGGCACCUUUACAAGAGAUUUGGGCAGGUACAGUUCAGGCACAGUACUGCAGAUCACGAGGCCCUGCCUGGGACCAUGAGGGCGCAGAGAAGCCUGUGGUUGGCACACGUUGGACUGGGCAGCAGGGUUUUAGGAUGGCAGCUGGAGUUUUGGUGUGGUGGUGUAAAUUAUGUCAGGUUUUAUUUCUGGUUUUCUAACAACGCAAUUCGCCUUCAGUUCAAAUCUGUAUGGAUCAGCCAAUACAGUAGUAAAUAAAUUUGUGACCAGUUACUCUCAUACAAUUGCCAUUUGAAGUUUUUUCCUUUGCAAUCCUGUGUCACUGCAUAUAUGAUUCCUUUGGUUUGCAAUCAUGUACGCUUCCCGUAGAUACCCAGGCUAUUCAGGGCCAAGUUCCUAGCUUAUGAAGACAACAGAAAGUGGCUUACUUGCUUAUUCUUUUUUGUUUGUUUUAUUUUGAAUAAUCCAACGCUAAUUGGUUUUCAAGAACUGAGUAGCUGGAUCUUCUUCCUUUGCCUUUGCUCAUGACACUAUUCAGCUAAGAAUAGCUAACUUGUGCCUGCUCCUCAGGAUACUUUUAUCCCAACCAUGUGUUUGGGAACUAGACGAUACAGCCGUGUCUGCAUGCCACAUCUGCCUCACAUAACAAACUCUGCCAAUUCCAGCUUGGGUCUCUACAUUAUGCUGCCAGUCUUCCCCCAGUAACAUGGAGACAGGAGAACUUUAUUUGACCUGAUAAUCAGUUGUUAUUGUCAGAACUACGCGAUCAAAGAGAAAUUGGCAGGACAUUGGUUUGGCACCACCCUUAAAAUUUGUCAGCAUCAUUUUAUUGCAAAAUUAAAGAUAAAUAUUAAUGUCCAAAACCUCUGAUUUCAGUAUUCACCACUUUCAAGUAUCUGAACUGAGACAGGCAAUGAAAACACAGCAGUGGUUCUGUAGAAUAACUGAAUUAUAAAAAUAUACCAUGAAGACAGGAAAAUAUGCUGGAUUUUCCUUCUAUUUUUUUUCCUGUAGUAAAUGCACAUGUAAUUGAUAGAUCUUGGAUUCUUGUUACCUGUGUAACAAAACACAAUCAUUUUUAG